CGUGCUUAACACAUGCAAGUCGAACGAUGAAGCCCAGCUUGCUGGGUGGAUUAGUGGCGAACGGGUGAGUAACACGUGAGUAACCUGCCCUUGACUCUGGGAUAAGCGUUGGAAACGACGUCUAAUACCGGAUACGAGCUUCCACCGCAUGGUGAGUUGCUGGAAAGAAUUUUGGUCAAGGAUGGACUCGCGGCCUAUCAGCUAGUUGGUGAGGUAAUGGCUCACCAAGGCGACGACGGGUAGCCGGCCUGAGAGGGUGACCGGCCACACUGGGACUGAGACACGGCCCAGACUCCUACGGGAGGCAGCAGUGGGGAAUAUUGCACAAUGGGCGAAAGCCUGAUGCAGCAACGCCGCGUGAGGGACGACGGCCUUCGGGUUGUAAACCUCUUUUAGCAGGGAAGAAGCGAAAGUGACGGUACCUGCAGAAAAAGCACCGGCUAACUACGUGCCAGCAGCCGCGGUAAUACGUAGGGUGCAAGCGUUGUCCGGAAUUAUUGGGCGUAAAGAGCUCGUAGGCGGUUUGUCGCGUCUGCUGUGAAAUCCCGAGGCUCAACCUCGGGUCUGCAGUGGGUACGGGCAGACUAGAGUGCGGUAGGGGAGAUUGGAAUUCCUGGUGUAGCGGUGGAAUGCGCAGAUAUCAGGAGGAACACCGAUGGCGAAGGCAGAUCUCUGGGCCGUUACUGACGCUGAGGAGCGAAAGGGUGGGGAGCAAACAGGCUUAGAUACCCUGGUAGUCCACCCCGUAAACGUUGGGCGCUAGAUGUG
This 768-nucleotide ribosomal RNA is filed under the name Mycetocola sp. RNAcentral describes it as "bacterial SSU rRNA". It matches the Rfam family "Bacterial small subunit ribosomal RNA", at positions 43 to 824 of the family's 1533-position model. The record is from RNAcentral. Lineage: Bacteria; Bacillati; Actinomycetota; Actinomycetes; Micrococcales; Microbacteriaceae.